AAGCUAUGAGAUCAAGAAGAAUGCGAGAAAAUGGAGUCAGGAGGCCAGAAAAACAGUUGGUGAAGGAGGCAGCUCUGAUAAGCAUAUCAAUGAUUUUGUCCAGCAUUUGGAACUUGCUAAUAAGAAAGAAGAGGCAAAGGUUUUGAAUGGCUAUCGUUAGAGUCAUCAGAUUUCACAAAUCUUUUCCCCUGGAUUAGGCAUAUUCCAUAAAUUACCAGUGGGUCUUCUGAUAUUGUCUUCUUUUUCCAUAUUCUUGGUUAAUGGCUAUCGUUAGAGUCAUCAGAUUUCACAAAUCUUUUCCCCUGGAUUAGGCAUAUUCCAUAAAUUACCAGUGGGUCUUCUGAUAUUGUCUUCUUUUUCCAUAUUCUUGGUU
Molecule: unclassified non-coding RNA, 373 nt
Filed under: Hevea brasiliensis (rubber tree)
Lineage: Eukaryota; Viridiplantae; Streptophyta; Magnoliopsida; Malpighiales; Euphorbiaceae
Source: RNAcentral